UCCCAGAUUUCUUUCUAUCUCUCCUCCCUCAACUUCCCAGAGAGUAGAAACUUGUUCCAGAACAAAAAUUAUAUGAAUUAGACCCAGAAAGAAAACUAGAGUCCACCCAGGUCAGCUCUGUUUUCUAAUCCAGGAGAAGCCUGAGAACCAGAAAGUGGAAGAGACUUACCCAAGGUCACACAGCUAGCACCCUGCAAAUGUGAAGUCAAGUCCAGAUGCCCUAAUCACAGCAGCGCUUUUUGAAGGGCCUCCUUAAACUACUUCACACACAACUUCAUAAAAUGCUCCCCAAAGGGUCCCUUUUCCACAGUGUUAUUAGUCAUCUGUCCCUCCCCCCAGGACCACCUCUGACCACCUCACCCUCUGUCCUCCUUCUGGCAGCACAAGCCCUCUGCUCAGUCGUCCCCUCCAGCUCAGCUGCACCUGGACAGGUGUGAGCUCCACCAAUCAGCCUCUUUCCCCUCUUCCCCCCUCCCCAAAGCCUGAGAAGUUUACACUGGCUAUUAAGAAUGUCCUUGACAAGUCAACCUGAACAGGAUAUGCCUGUUACUCCAGGUAGCAGCUACAAGAAGGAAGCUGAGGGUCUGGGGAAGAGUUCCCAGCCUGGCUCCUGGCUGCUGCAGGGCUCACCCUCCUCCAGAAGGCGAUGAAUCAAUUGGCCCACCCAGCCCACAAGACCCUCAGCAUCAGUUCUGUUCAGAAGUGGACGACCCAAAACACCGGAGGGGAAGCCAAAGGGCGCCAUAUUCCAGGACACGGAAUCCAGCUUCAGAGACAGAUGAGGAGAUAACCAGGUCUAGAGAAUGGAAGGGAUUCAUCCAAGGUCACAUAGGUAAUAGGAGCAGAGCCCAGAGAGUCUAAGCUAGUUCCUCUGACAUGAGAUGCAGUGAAGUGAUCUGUGCAGGAUGGAAUGAUUUGGCUCACAGUGUGUCAGAGCUGGGAAAGAGCUUAGAACAGAGAUUUCCUAUCUUGCUUCUUUUGUAUCAUAAUUGUCUUUAUAACUUUGUAACAUUUGCUUUUGAUUGUUUUGUGUGUGUAUGUGUGUGUGUGAUACACAGUUGUUCUUUCUGUUUACAUUGUAGUCAUUGUGUAUUUAUUUCUUUUGGUUCUGCUGAUUUCACUCUAUAUCAGUUCAUGUUGUUCUUUCCAUGCCUCUCUGUAUUAUACACAUGUCAUCAUUUCUUACAACAACACAAUCAUAUUCCAUUAUCUUCAUGAAUCACCAUUUGUUAUUUAAUCGUCCUCUAAUCAGUAGUCAUCUACUUUGUUUCUAAUUCUGUUAUCACUAAAAAAAAGUAUUGCUACAAAUAUUUUAGAACUUUCUUUUUAUCGAUGGUGUUCUUGUGAUAUUGAUGUAGGCAUAAAAUCUCUGGAUCAAUGUUUAUGAGCAUUUUAGUCACUUUAUUUGCAUAAUUCCAAAUUGUUUUCCCAAAUGAUUGUAUGCAUUCACAACUCCAUCGCCAAUGUAUCAGUAUUCCUAUCUUACCACAAACUCUCAAAUAUUGACUUGACCAUCUUGUCUUUUGUCAUUCUUGCCAACCUGCAGGAUGUGAGCUAAAGCCCAGGACUCUGAUUUUCAUUCUUCUUAUUAUUAGUGAUUUGGAGCAUUCUUUCAUGUAGUUGUUAAUACUUCGCAAUUCUUUUGAGAAUUUUUGUUCAUAUCCUCUAACCAUUUAUUUAUUGAAGGAGUUACUUUUAGUCACAUGUUUGUGUUCGUGUGUAUACAUAUACACACAUUUACAAAUACAGGCAUAUAUCUGUGUAUGUAUAUAUGUAUGCAUGUAAUUAUAGAUAUACAUAUCUCUUGGAUACAAGACUUAUCAGAGAUAUUUGAUAAAAAGAUUUUUUUCCUCAUUUGACCUCUUCCCUAUCCUAAUCCUAGGUGUUCUCAUUUUGUCUAUGCAGAAGUUUUUCAGAAUCAUGUAAUUAAAGUUAUCUAUUUUAUCCUUUGUAGUUACCUCUAUCCCUUAUUUAGUUAAGAAUGCAACUAGAUAUAUAGAGAUAGAGGGAUUUUAUUUGUUUCUCUUCUAAUUUUUUAUGGUAUGAUCUUUAACAUUAAGGUUGUAUAUCAAUUUAAAUUUUAUUAUGGAAUAAGGCAAAAAUGUAAAUCUAAUUUUUGCCCAACUGAUUUCCAGAUUUUCCAGCAGUUUUUAACCAAUGGAAAGUUCUUCCCUAAAUUGUUUGCAUUUUCCAGUUUAUCAAACAAUGAGUUACUAAG
This 2218-nucleotide long non-coding RNA is filed under the name Monodelphis domestica (gray short-tailed opossum). RNAcentral's name for it is "lncRNA (ENSMODG00000046450.1)". Lineage: Eukaryota; Metazoa; Chordata; Mammalia; Didelphimorphia; Didelphidae. The record is from RNAcentral.